GCCACAAUCAAUACCACCCUGAACAUGCCUGAUCUCAUCUGAUCUUGAAAUCUAAGCAGGGUUGGGCCUGGUUAGAACUUGGAUGGGAGAAAAUGAUGUAAAAAAAUAGAUCUAACUUCCAGUUUCUGGUC
Molecule: ribosomal RNA, 131 nt
Organism: Mustela putorius furo (domestic ferret)
Lineage: Eukaryota; Metazoa; Chordata; Mammalia; Carnivora; Mustelidae
Source: Ensembl